This 507-nucleotide ribosomal RNA is filed under the name uncultured Glomeromycotina. RNAcentral describes it as "partial small subunit ribosomal RNA". It matches the Rfam family "Eukaryotic small subunit ribosomal RNA", at positions 591 to 1092 of the family's 1831-position model. The record is from RNAcentral. Lineage: Eukaryota; Fungi; Glomeromycota.
CCAAUAGCGUAUAUUAAAGUUGUUGCAGUUAAAAAGCUCGUAGUUGAAUUUCGGGAUUGACGUGAUGGUCAUGCCUUAAGGGGUAUGAACUGUCACUGUUGAUUUCUCACCUUCUGGAGAAACUUGAUGUCCUUUAUUGGGUGUCUUGCGGAUCCAGGACCUUUACCUUGAAAAAAUUAGAGUGUUUAAAGCAGGCAUUUUUGCUCGAAUACAUUAGCAUGGAAUAAUAGAAUAGGACGGCAUGGUUCUAUUUUGUUGGUUUCUAGGAUCACCGUAAUGAUUAAUAGGGAUAGUUGGGGGCAUUAGUAUUCAAUUGUCAGAGGUGAAAUUCUUGGAUUUAUUGAAGACUAACUACUGCGAAAGCAUUUGCCAAGGAUGUUUUCAUUAAUCAAGAACGAAAGUUAGGGGAUCGAAGACGAUCAGAUACCGUCGUAGUCUUAACCGUAAACUAUGCCGACUAGGAAUCAGACGAUGUUAAUUUUUUAAUGACUCGUUUGGCACCUUACG